Molecule: unclassified non-coding RNA, 279 nt
Filed under: plant metagenome
Description: partial contains small subunit ribosomal RNA, internal transcribed spacer 1, and 5.8S ribosomal RNA
Source: RNAcentral
UCUCCGUAGGUGAACCUGCGGGAGGAUCAUUACUGUAUAACCGAGGUCCGAGUCCUGCCGUUGACCCGUAGGGUAGUUCACGCCCGAGUGGCGUCAUACACAUCCAUCUCACCCCUAUCUGCACCACCGCGUGGGUCCCCCUUUGGCUCGGUCGGAGGGGGGCCUACGUUUUCAUACAAACUUUGCUUGCUGUGUAGAAUGUAAUUUUUGACUUUCCGCUCACGCAAUCUAUACUACUUUCAACAACGGAACUCUUGCAUCUCGCAACGACGAAGAACC